GGACCAUCAUGUUGGUCGUGCCUUGGUAUGUACUGGCAUUGUUGGUUUCUCCCUUCUGACGAACCAUGAUGUCAUUUAUUUGGUGUUGUGGGAAAUCAGGACUGUUUUACUUUGAAAAAUUAGUGUUUAAAGCAGGCUCACGCUUGAAUACAUUAGCAUGGAAUAAUGAAAUAGGACGUUUGAUUCUAUUUUGUUGGUUUCUAGGAUCGACGUAAUGAUUAA
RNAcentral lists this ribosomal RNA (222 nucleotides) under uncultured Glomeromycotina. RNAcentral describes it as "partial 18S ribosomal RNA". The stretch from base 105 to 222 matches the Rfam family "Eukaryotic small subunit ribosomal RNA", at positions 750 to 872 of the family's 1831-position model. Lineage: Eukaryota; Fungi; Glomeromycota. The record is from RNAcentral.